Phyllostomus discolor (pale spear-nosed bat) is the source of this 167-nucleotide long non-coding RNA. RefSeq lists it as uncharacterized. The record is from RefSeq and is a predicted model, not a curated record. The transcript has 3 exons. Lineage: Eukaryota; Metazoa; Chordata; Mammalia; Chiroptera; Phyllostomidae.
GGAGAGCUGUGUAAGAAACGGAGCUAGAAUUGAACAAAAGCGAUCAAUCACAUUCACCACGGAAAAGAACUGAUGACUAAAUGGGUCAUAGUAUGUGUUUUUAAAUUUCUAAUGUUCACGUACAUUUUUUAUACUUAUGAGUUCUCACCCUGCAACUAGAAUUAAUA